RNAcentral lists this ribosomal RNA (1063 nucleotides) under Salmonella enterica. RNAcentral's name for it is "partial 23S ribosomal RNA". It matches the Rfam family "Bacterial large subunit ribosomal RNA", at positions 161 to 1240 of the family's 2925-position model. Lineage: Bacteria; Pseudomonadati; Pseudomonadota; Gammaproteobacteria; Enterobacterales; Enterobacteriaceae. The record is from RNAcentral. RNAcentral also lists the same sequence under 1 other name.
AAUCCAUAGGUUAAUGAGGCGAACCGGGGGAACUGAAACAUCUAAGUACCCCGAGGAAAAGAAAUCAACCGAGAUUCCCCCAGUAGCGGCGAGCGAACGGGGAGGAGCCCAGAGCCUGAAUCAGCAUGUGUGUUAGUGGAAGCGUCUGGAAAGGCGCGCGAUACAGGGUGACAGCCCCGUACACAAAAGCGCAUGUGCUGUGAGCUCGAUGAGUAGGGCGGGACACGUGGUAUCCUGUCUGAAUAUGGGGGGACCAUCCUCCAAGGCUAAAUACUCCUGACUGACCGAUAGUGAACCAGUACCGUGAGGGAAAGGCGAAAAGAACCCCGGCGAGGGGAGUGAAAAAGAACCUGAAACCGUGUACGUACAAGCAGUGGGAGCACAGGUUUACCUGUGUGACUGCGUACCUUUUGUAUAAUGGGUCAGCGACUUAUAUUCUGUAGCAAGGUUAACCGAAUAGGGGAGCCGGAGGGAAACCGAGUCUUAAUUGGGCGUUAAGUUGCAGGGUAUAGACCCGAAACCCGGUGAUCUAGCCAUGGGCAGGUUGAAGGUUGGGUAACACUAACUGGAGGACCGAACCGACUAAUGUUGAAAAAUUAGCGGAUGACCUGUGGCUGGGGGUGAAAGGCCAAUCAAACCGGGAGAUAGCUGGUUCUCCCCGAAAGCUAUUUAGGUAGCGCCUCGUGAAUUCAUCUCCGGGGGUAGAGCACUGUUUCGGCUAGGGGGCCAUCCCGGCUUACCAACCCGAUGCAAACUGCGAAUACCGGAGAAUGUUAUCACGGGAGACACACGGCGGGUGCUAACGUCCGUCGUGAAGAGGGAAACAACCCAGACCGCCAGCUAAGGUCCCAAAGUCAUGGUUAAGUGGGAAACGAUGUGGGAAGGCCCAGACAGCCAGGAUGUUGGCUUAGAAGCAGCCAUCAUUUAAAGAAAGCGUAAUAGCUCACUGGUCGAGUCGGCCUGCGCGGAAGAUGUAACGGGGCUAAACCAUGCACCGAAGCUGCGGCAGCGAACGUAUCACUUAAAGCGAUUCAGCGGGUUACGAUUGACGGAGCGAAGCGAC